RNAcentral lists this ribosomal RNA (497 nucleotides) under uncultured bacterium. RNAcentral's name for it is "partial 16S ribosomal RNA". It matches the Rfam family "Bacterial small subunit ribosomal RNA", at positions 28 to 507 of the family's 1533-position model. The record is from RNAcentral.
GAUGAACGCUGGCGGCGUGCCUAAUACAUGCAAGUCGAGCGAACGGACGAGAAGCUUGCUUCUCUGAUGUUAGCGGCGGACGGGUGAGUAACACGUGGAUAACCUACCUAUAAGACUGGGAUAACUUCGGGAAACCGGAACUAAUACCGGAUAAUAUUUUGAACCGCAUGGUUCAAAAGUGAAAGACGGUCUUGCUGUCACUUAUAGAUGGAUCCGCGCUGCAUUAGCUAGUUGGUAAGGUAACGGCUUACCAAGGCAACGAUGCAUAGCCGACCUGAGAGGGUGAUCGGACACACUGGAACUGAGACACGGUCCAGACUCCUACGGGAGGCAGCAGUAGGGAAUCUUCCGCAAUGGGCGAAAGCCUGACGGAGCAACGCCGCGUGAGUGAUGAAGGUCUUCGGAUCGUAACACUCUGUUAUUAGGGAAGAACAUAUGUGUAAGUAACUGUGCACAUCUUGACGGUACCUAAUCAGAAAGCCACGGCUAACUACGUG